This 386-nucleotide long non-coding RNA is filed under the name Pan troglodytes (chimpanzee). RNAcentral describes it as "long non-coding RNA NONPTRT014737". The record is from RNAcentral. Lineage: Eukaryota; Metazoa; Chordata; Mammalia; Primates; Hominidae.
CAAAGUUCAGAGAGGGGGAAAAGUCAUUUGGCUUUGUCUAUGUAUUAGUCAGGCCUCUCCAGAGAAACAGGAUCUGGGAACUAGCAUGUCUAGAAUUAGUUCCUUCCAGUGGGUUCUUGGUCUCACUGACUUCAUUCUCCAUUGUAUGUUCUUGGCACUUUUGUCAGAAAUUAAUCGACCAUAGCUGUGUGGAUUUAUUUUUGGGCUUUUAAUCCUAUUCUAUUUGUUAAUGUGUCAUUUUUAUGACAGUAUCAUGUUGUUUUGAAUCCUAUAGCUUUAUAAUGUAUUUUGAAAUCUGCUAGUGCGAUGCCUUCAGUUUUUGGGUUUUGGUCAAAAUUACUUUGGAAUUAUUCAAUUUAAAAUGUUAACUAUAGGAAAAAAGAAAA